UUUUUUUUUUUUUUUUUUUUUUUUGGCUUUUUAGGGCCAUACCCGUGGCCUAUGGAACCUCCCAGGCUAGGGGUGGAAUUGGAGCUGCAGCUGCUGGCCUACACCACAGCUCAUGGCAAUGCCAGGAUCCUUAACCCACUGAGCGAGGCCAGGGAUCGAACCCAAGUCCUCACAGAUACUAGUCAGGCUAGUAUCUGCAAAGCCACAGUGGGAACUUCCUUUCUCUUUCUCUCUCUCAGACACACACACAUACACACACACACACACACACACACACGCACGCACACGCGCGCGCGCACGCGCACACACGUUUGUGUGCGCCCACAUGCCUGCUUUGAUGAGGAUUUUGGAGAUAAAGAGGCGUUUAAAGGCGUUUAAAGAUAAACCCCUCGGUGCCCGUGGGUUGUGGAGAGAAGAGACAGACGUGAGGGUGUGUGAAUAUGUGCAAGUCUGCUCUUCUCACAUCUUCUUAGCUCCCUGAGGGAUUCUCUUGGAGAAAUCAACACCGAUUAAGACCCAGGACUUUUGUCAUUAUUGUUUGUUUGUUGGCUUUGCUUUCCAAUGAUCACAUCCUUUCUCAGAUGCAAUAGAGAUCCAACUCCUUGCUUGAAUGAAAGAGAGGGAAAGGGCUAAGUGAGAGCAGGGAAUGGCGAGGAGCCAAAAGAACCUGAUCCAUUUCUUAAAAAAAAAAAAUCCCUCCAUGCGAUGAAACACCUGCCUUCUAGGAGCGACCUGCGUUGUUCUGAGAAUGAUGGUGAUUUAUCUCAAUAAUUUAUGAGCUAGCCAGCUCAAGGCUAGGCCAUUCUAGACAGGUGAGAUGUUUGACAAAGUGUGGGGGAGAAAGCCUGACUGGGAGAGAAGAAGGCUCGUUCUUGCAAGCAGGAGCCUCACGGGGCCUGAGAAGACGAGGAGGGGGCUGGGAGAGGAGGCAGGACCCCUAACAUAACGGGAAAAGCAUUGAUAAACAUCCCUCUGAGCCUCGGGCACUUUUGGAUGGUGUUGGAAAACUUCCCAAGUCUUAUAACAACCGUAGAGUACGUGAUGUCUUUUCCGUUUCAUGAAAGAAGAAGCUAACGUUUUGAAAGGCUUGGUACAUUUCCCCAGAGAGUUCCUCAUUGAAUGGCACAGCCAUCCACCCGGCAGCUCAAGUCAGAAAUGGGGAUUCAUCCCGACACCCCACUUCUCAGCCCACCUUCUCCGUCAGGGAACCAGCUCCCUGGAGGUGACAUCCAAGAUUGUCCUGAUGCCCUCCUCCCACUCGCCACCACCUGGCUCCAGCAUCCCGGUUUCUGCCUGGAUGGGUAUGAUGGCAACCUCGGGGUCUUCCUGCCCAGUUAGCUCUCCGGAGACGGAGACGGAGACGGGUUUUGCAAAGAUCGCUGGACUUCGCUGCGCGACUACUUGGAAUGCUUGCUGUAGGUUUCGCUUUCAAAGAUACUCCAUUCAGCUCCAUUAAAAAUUUUUUUAAAGUAGGUAUAGUUGAUUUAUAAUGUGCCAAUUUCUGCUGCACAGCGAAGUGAUGCAGUCAUACAUAUAUAUUGACAUAUACAUUCUUUUUCUCACAUUAUUUUCCAUCACGUUCUUUCCCAAGAGAUUGGAUAAAGUUCCCUGUGCUGUACAGGAGGGCUCAGCUCCAAUCUUAAGAGGAAGCAUGGUGGUUUCAUUUCUAGAAUAUUUAGUAUAGCCUUAGGCAUAUGCCUGAAAUCUCCAUUUGCUCAUCAUCAAACUGAAGCAUGUUUUCUUGAAAUCCAAAUAAUUUAAGGUUUGUGAAGCCAGGUUGGUUUUGAUCCAGACAUAAAUCCUUAGCCACUAAGAAUAUUUUGCCUUUUUUUUCCAAAGGGGGGUGGUGGCCUAUUUUGUUUUGCCUGAAAUUUGGAAGACACACACAUAUGGAUUCAUCUACAAGAAUUAAAGUAAAUUUUAAUUCUGUUUUAACUUUCUACCUGGUCAUUCCCAAACUGUGCCGAAUACCUUUUUGUAAUGCAUUUUCUGAGCCACACCUUGGGGCCGAGACUGAAGCCCAGGCAGGGCGGCGUGGAUGAAUUAUGGCAUCAGCCUCCAGGUCACAUCUGGUUCUCAUUCCAUUAGCUCUGAAUGGGGCUGUCUGUGUUCCUCAGACACUCUGCACCUAGAAGUUAUCAAUCACUGCGGAAAGAAACAAAUGCUAACCUUCUCCUACCUGCUUGGCGCAGACAGGAGGCAGGACACUGAUUUCAGUUUUUGGAAGUAUGCAAGAAAUAGAGAGGGUUCUUGACGCAGCAAAUGUUGACCGUUUCAUGACUGUCCAGAUAUGUGAUUUUUGUUCCACUCCUGCUCGAUCUCCCCUCGGUCUUAUGUUUUUUGGCUUCUCCUUCUGGUUUAGGCGAGCAUCUUGUCACACACUGGGCGUCGGCCGGGUGUUUUGCAUUCUCAGCUCGUUUUCUCCUCCUUCUGCCCCUUAGGCAGAUACUCUCGCCCUUAUCCUACUGAGGCCACUGGGAACCUGUGAGAGGUUCGAUGCCUUGCCCGUGGCCAUCAAUAGUUGGAGAAGGGAGCCAAGGCUGGAGCCCAGGAUCUUAACACGCGCCUUCUGCUAAGCCGUGCUACUCUGAGGGCGUAAGCCUGCUGAAGGUCGUGACCUUCUGACUCUCAGCACACUUAGAACUGAGAUGUAUUUUUGAGACAAGCCAGUUUCGUUCCUUAAUCUCCCUGGGGGAAACGAUGGGCGGCUGCUUCCAGUUGAACAAACUUAAAUUUGAAGGCAGGGCUUCCCAUUCGAGUGUCCAUUUGCCAGACCUUAGCGAUUUGGGCAAAUCUUAGCAUCAUCCUGAACCCAGGUACCAAUAUAUAUCCAGGGGAGUCAGGUAAAGCUGUUCUCCUAAAAUGCAGGUCUUCGGCAUCUGCUCUUGGCCAUGACUCCUGCCCUAGUCAGUCUCAUCUAGGGAGGGGGGGAAACUGGAAAGUCAAUGUGAAAAUAUACCACUGAGGAGUUCCCGUCGUGGCUCAGUGGUUAACAAAUCAGAUUCGGCCCCUAGCCUGGGAACCUCCAUAUGCUGUGGGUGCGGCCCUAGAAAAGACAAAAAAAGACAGGAAAAAAAAUAUAUAUAUAUACAUAUAUCUCACUGAAAUGAUGCUGAGACUUACAAAACUCCUGGCACAUAGAUUUCCCAUAAGUGAGUUGAUCUUAUCACUGGCUUAAGAUUUAACUCUUGAAAGAAAAAAAUCAUGCAAUAAAAAAUCUUUAAAAGAUAUUUUGUGGAUAAAGAAAACAUCUGAAUGAACAUUAAAUUUCAUAAACAGGAUAACAGCUUUGUUGUCAUACAGGAGAAUAUCUUUGCAGAAGCAUCAUUAAGUCUGUCACUGUUAUAAAUGGUUCUUUGUAUUAAGGAGACAGGGGGUGGGGGAGGUGAACCCACUUUCCCAGGAAACCCUGACAUCCAGCCCCCAACAAAGGUUCAGGAAAUUGAAAAUGGACUUUCCUUUUGAUUCAGUAAUUAUAUUUGUUGAAACGUAUGCUAAAGAAUUAGUUGUAAUGGAGUUCCCAUCUUGGCUCAGCGGAAAUGAAUCUGACGAGCAUCCAUGAGGACGCAGGUUCAAUCUCUGGCCUCACUCAGUGGCUUAAGGGAUCUGGUAUGGCCAUGAGCUGUGGUGCAGAUCACAGAUAUGGCUUGAAUUCCGUGUUGCUGUGGCUGUGGACCAAAAAAAAAAAA
RNAcentral lists this long non-coding RNA (3689 nucleotides) under Sus scrofa (pig). RNAcentral describes it as "lncRNA (ENSSSCG00015006732.1)". Lineage: Eukaryota; Metazoa; Chordata; Mammalia; Artiodactyla; Suidae. The record is from RNAcentral.